Molecule: long non-coding RNA, 1592 nt
Organism: Chrysemys picta bellii (western painted turtle)
Lineage: Eukaryota; Metazoa; Chordata; Testudines; Emydidae
Source: Ensembl
AACACUAUUUCACCAGGAGGGUGGUGAAGCACUGAAAUGGGUUCCCUAGGGAGGUGGUGAAAUCUCCUUCCUUAGAGGUUUUUAAGGUCAGGCUUGACAAAGCCCUGGCUGGGAUGAAUUAGUUGGGAUUGGAUUCUGCUUUGAGCAGGGGGUUGGACUAGAUACCUCCUGAGGUCUGUUCCAACCCUGAUAUUCUAUGAUUCUAUGACUCUAUGAAAACCCGGCCCUGGAGCAAACGCUCCCUUCCUGGCAGCCCAGAUGGGAGUGUCAUGCUGACUUUUAACGGGCCACUAGGCAGGGACAUGAGGGGUAGGUGGGGCAGGAAACGGGCGAUUUAUUGCGGGAUUCUUUCUCAGGGCUCACAUUUGCUCUCUUGGGUGUGGCUGCACCUGGCUAGGCUGGUUCUUGUCCUAUUCCUCUUUGCAGGCUGGGGGCGGGCCUGGGGGCCGUCUCUGUGUGGUGGAUAAAGGGCACUGGAUCUGCGAAGAAGAAGAGACCGGGAAAGGCAGAGCGGAGGAGCGGAGGAUCCUGGAGCAUCUAGUUUCUCAGGGGAGGAAGACGGCGAAAGGCGGAAAGGAGGGAGAGAUCCGGGGGUCUCUGAUACUCUGCGAGGGAAGAGGGAAGGUGAAAGGCAGAAGGAAAAGAGUGACCGUUGUGGGUUUGCUCAGCCGAGCAGAGGAAGGACGUGACGGGCAGAGGGGAGAAGAGCAAACAUCCUGAAUUUGCCCAGCGGACCCCAGGGCCUGAGGCAGCAGGGGGGGAAAGGAGAGCGGGAAAGGCGGCUCAGAGGGGAGAACGCCCCAAGUCGUCUCAGGAAAUACAGCAAGCAGGUGCCGGAGGAGCGGGAGAACGGCCCGGAGGAGGAGAGGGGAGGCCUGGAAAUUAGAGGGCUCGGAGACACGCCCCGAGGGAGCGGCAGACCGGGAAAGGCGCCCAGGAGGAGUGCGGCACCAUGAGCUACCCAGGCUAUGAUAAAGGCCCCCAGCCCUCCGCCCCUGCUCAGCCCCCCCCAUACUCCAACAUGCCACCUUAUGGGGCCCCUCCCCCGCUACUGCCCUCCGGCGGGCAAUUCCCCACCGCAAGCUACGGGGCAGCCCCCGGAAUGCCCCCCAACCCACAGGGCUAUUACCCCCCGUACAACGAGGACCCCAACCGGGGCCAGAUGGGCUAUGCCCCACAGCAGGUCAUCCUGGUCUCCCCGCCUCCUGCCAAUGAGGCUGACUACCUGGGCUACUCCAUCUUCACCCUUCUCUGCUGCUGCCUGCCCCUGGGCAUCGUGGCGCUGGUGUAUUCCAUCCAGACUCGGGAUGCCAACCGCUCUGGCAACACUGCCCAGGCGCAGCGGAGUUCCCGGAUGGCCCGGAUUUUCAACAACACGGCCCUGGGGGUGGGGAUUGUGGUGCUGAUCGUGUGGGUCGCCAUCGUGAUUGCCAUCAGCCUCUCAGCCUCUAGACACCACUGAUCCUUCCGCCCUGCCCCCACUCCCCAACCCCCAGCUCUGAGCCGGUUUUCAACACCUCCCUGCAUCCACACACACAGACCCGCAUGCACCACAACACAACCAUCUCCUCAGCCCACCCACACACUCACUA